CACGAGUUUGAUCCUGGCUCAGAUUGAACGCUGGCGGCAGGCCUAACACAUGCAAGUCGAGCGGGUUUCGGGCUAGCGGCGGACGGGUGAGUAAUGCGUAGGAAGCUACCCGAUAGAGGGGGAUACCAGUUGGAAACGACUGUUAAUACCGCAUAAUGUCUACGGACCAAAGUGUGGGACCUUCGGGCCACAUGCUAUCGGAUGCGCCUACGUGGGAUUAGCUAGUUGGUGGGGUAAUGGCUCACCAAGGCGACGAUCCCUAGCUGGUUUGAGAGGAUGAUCAGCCACACUGGAACUGAGACACGGUCCAGACUCCUACGGGAGGCAGCAGUGGGGAAUAUUGGACAAUGGGCGCAAGCCUGAUCCAGCCAUGCCGCGUGUGUGAAGAAGGCCUUCGGGUUGUAAAGCACUUUCAGCGAGGAGGAAGGGUUAGUAGUUAAUAGCUGCUAAUUUUGACGUUACUCGCAGAAGAAGCACCGGCUAACUCUGUG
RNAcentral lists this ribosomal RNA (491 nucleotides) under uncultured bacterium. RNAcentral's name for it is "bacterial SSU rRNA". It matches the Rfam family "Bacterial small subunit ribosomal RNA", at positions 1 to 507 of the family's 1533-position model. The record is from RNAcentral.